This 377-nucleotide ribosomal RNA is filed under the name uncultured eukaryote. RNAcentral describes it as "partial 18S ribosomal RNA". It matches the Rfam family "Eukaryotic small subunit ribosomal RNA", at positions 592 to 976 of the family's 1831-position model. The record is from RNAcentral.
CAAUAGCGUAUAUUUAAGUUGCUGCAGUUAAAAAGCUCGUAGUUGGAUUUCGGGUGGGAAUGGCCGGUCCGCCGUUUCGGUGUGCACUUGCUACGCCCACCUUGCUGCCGGGGACGUGCUCUUGAGUUCACGCUCGGGACACGGAGUCGGCGAGGUUACUUUGGGUAAAUUAGAGUGUUCAAAGCAGGCCUACGCUCUGAAUACAUUAGCAUGGAAUAACACGAUAGGACUCUGGCCUAUCUUGUUGGUCUGUAGGACCGGAGUAAUGAUUAAGAGGGACAGUCGGGGGCAUUCGUAUUUCAUUGUCAGAGGUGAAAUUCUUGGAUUUAUGAAAGACGAACUACUGCGAAAGCAUUUGCCAAGGAUGUUUUCAUUAA